This 238-nucleotide ribosomal RNA is filed under the name uncultured bacterium. RNAcentral's name for it is "partial 16S ribosomal RNA". It matches the Rfam family "Bacterial small subunit ribosomal RNA", at positions 68 to 305 of the family's 1533-position model. The record is from RNAcentral.
GGGAGUUGUUGAUAAGCUUGCUUAUUGACACCUCUAGUGGCGGACGGGUGAGUAAUACAUAGGAAUCUACCUCGAAGCGGGGGAUAACCCGGGGAAACUCGGACUAAUACCGCAUAACACUAUGAGUAGGAAAGGCGGCGCAAGCUGUCACUUUGAGAUGAGCCUAUGCUGGAUUAGCUUGUUGGUGGGGUAAUGGCCUACCAAGACUGUGAUCAAUAGCUGAUUUGAGAGGAUGAUC